RNAcentral lists this ribosomal RNA (478 nucleotides) under uncultured bacterium. RNAcentral's name for it is "partial 16S ribosomal RNA". It matches the Rfam family "Bacterial small subunit ribosomal RNA", at positions 28 to 507 of the family's 1533-position model. The record is from RNAcentral.
GAUGAACGCUGGCGGCGUGCUUAACACAUGCAAGUCGAACGGGAAACCUUUUAAUGCAGCUUCGGCAGAUUUAGCUGGUUUCUAGUGGCGGACGGGUGAGUAACGCGUGGGUAACCUGCCUUAUACAGGGGGAUAACAGUCAGAAAUGACUGCUAAUACCGCAUAAGCGCACAGGACCGCUUGGUCCGGUGUGAAAAACUCCGGUGGUAUAAGAUGGACCCGCGUUGGAUUAGCUUGUUGGUGGGGUAACGGCUCACCAAGGCGACGAUCCAUAGCCGGCCAGAGAGGGUGAACGGACACAAUGGGACUGAGAAAAGGCCCAGACUCCUACGGGAGGCAGCAGAGGGGAAUAUAGCACAAUGGGGGAAACCCUGAUGCAGCGACGGCGCGUGAAGGAAGAAGUAUGUCGGUAUGUAAACUUCUAGCAGCAGGGAAGAUAGUGACGGUACCUGACUAAGAAGCCCCGGCUAACUACGUG